CUAAGGCUGAGACACGACGUCGAGCUGCUACGGCAGUGAAGUCAUUGAUGCCAUGCUUCCAGGAAAAGCCUCUAAGCUUCAGAUAGUCAGGAAUCGUACCCCAAACCGACACAGGUGGUCGGGUAGAGAAUACCAAGGCGCUUGAGAGAACUCGGGUGAAGGAACUAGGCAAAAUGGUACCGUAACUUCGGGAGAAGGUACGCUCUUGAUGGUGAAGUCCCUCGCGGAUGGAGCUGACGAGAGUCGCAGAUACCAGGUGGCUGCAACUGUUUAUUAAAAACACAGCACUGUGCAAAAUCGCAAGAUGACGUAUACGGUGUGACGCCUGCCCGGUGCCGGAAGGUUAAUUGAUGGGGUUAGCGCAAGCGAAGCUCUUGAUCGAAGCCCCGGUAAACGGCGGCCGUAACUAUAACGGUCCUAAGGUAGCGAAAUUCCUUGUCGGGUAAGUUCCGACCUGCACGAAUGGCGUAAUGAUGGCCACGCUGUCUCCACCCGAGACUCAGUGAAAUUGAAAUCGCUGUGAAGAUGCAGUGUACCCGCGGCUAGACGGAAAGACCCCGUGAACCUUUACUACAGCUUGGCACUGAACAUUGAACCUACAUGUGUAGGAUAGGUGGGAGGCUAUGAAGACGUGACGCCAGUUGCGUUGGAGCCGUCCUUGAAAUACCACCCUUGUAUGUUUGAUGUUCUAACUUAGACCCAUUAUCUGGGUUGAGGACAGUGCCUGGUGGGUAGUUUGACUGGGGCGGUCUCCUCCCAAAGAGUAACGGAGGAGCACGAAGGUGGGCUAAUCACGGUUGGACAUCGUGAGGUUAGUGCAAUGGCAUAAGCCCGCUUAACUGCGAGAAUGACGGUUCGAGCAGGUGCGAAAGCAGGUCAUAGUGAUCCGGUGGUUCUGUAUGGAAGGGCCAUCGCUCAACGGAUAAAAGGUACUCCGGGGAUAACAGGCUGAUACCGCCCAAGAGUUCAUAUCGACGGCGGUGUUUGGCACCUCGAUGUCGGCUCAUCACAUCCUGGGGCUGAAGUCGGUCCCAAGGGUAUGGCUGUUCGCCAUUUAAAGUGGUACGCGAGCUGGGUUUAGAACGUCGUGAGACAGUUCGGUCCCUAUCUGCCGUGGGCGUUGGAAGAUUGAAGGGGGCUGCUCCUAGUACGAGAGGACCGGAGUGGACGAACCUCUGGUGUUCGGGUUGUGUCGCCAGACGCAUUGCCCGGUAGCUAAGUUCGGAAUUGAUAAGCGCUGAAAGCAUCUAAGCGCGAAGCGAGCCCUGAGAUGAGUCUUCCCUGAUACUUUAAGUAUCCUAAAGGGUUGUUCGAGACUAGAACGUUGAUAGGCAGGGUGUGUAAGCGUUGUGAGGCGUUGAGCUAACCUGUACUAAUUGCCCGUGAGGCUUAACCAUAC
This 1399-nucleotide ribosomal RNA is filed under the name Vibrio cholerae. RNAcentral's name for it is "partial 23S ribosomal RNA". It matches the Rfam family "Bacterial large subunit ribosomal RNA", at positions 1550 to 2925 of the family's 2925-position model. Lineage: Bacteria; Pseudomonadati; Pseudomonadota; Gammaproteobacteria; Vibrionales; Vibrionaceae. The record is from RNAcentral.